This 310-nucleotide ribosomal RNA is filed under the name uncultured soil bacterium. Its description in RNAcentral is "bacterial SSU rRNA". It matches the Rfam family "Bacterial small subunit ribosomal RNA", at positions 26 to 363 of the family's 1533-position model. The record is from RNAcentral.
AGAACGAACGCUGGCGGCAUGCCUAAUACAUGCAAGUCGAACGAACACUUCGGUGUUAGUGGCGCACGGGUGCGUAACGCGUGGGAAUCUGCCCUUGGGUUCGGAAUAACAGUUGGAAACGACUGCUAAUACCGGAUGAUAUCGAAAGAUCAAAGAUUUAUCGCCCAGGGAUGAGCCCGCGUAGGAUUAGCUAGUUGGUGAGGUAAAGGCUCACCAAGGCGACGAUCCUUAGCUGGUCUGAGAGGAUGAUCAGCCACACUGGGACUGAGACACGGCCCAGGACUCCUACGGGAGGCAGCAGUAGGGAAUA